UACGUAGGGUGCAAGCGUUAAUCGGAAUUACUGGGCGUAAAGCGUGCGCAGGCGGUGAUGUAAGACAGAUGUGAAAUCCCCGGGCUCAACUUGGGAACUGCAUUUGUGACUGCAUCGCUGGAGUGCGGCAGAGGGGGAUGGAAUUCCGCGUGUAGCAGUGAAAUGCGUAGAGAUGUGGAGGAACACCGAUGGCGAAGGCAGCCCCCUGGGCUAACACUGACGCUCAUGCACGAAAGCGUGGGGAGCAAACAGG
RNAcentral lists this ribosomal RNA (253 nucleotides) under uncultured bacterium. Its description in RNAcentral is "partial 16S ribosomal RNA". It matches the Rfam family "Bacterial small subunit ribosomal RNA", at positions 524 to 776 of the family's 1533-position model. The record is from RNAcentral.